UUUUUGUUUUGUUUUGUUUUUCCCGAGAUGGAGUCUCGCUCCAUCACCCAGGCUGGAGUUCAGUGACAUGAUCUCAGCUCAGUGCAAUCUCUGUCUCCCAGGUUCAAGCGAUUCUCCUGCCUCAGUCUCCCAAGUAGAUGGGAUUACAGAUGUGCACCACCACGCCUAGCGAAUUUUUGCAUUUUUUCAGUAGAGAUGGGGUUCAACAUGUUGGCCAGGCUGGUCUCAAACUCUUGACCUCGUGAUCUGCCCACCUCAGUCUCCCAAAGUGUUGAGAUUACAUGUGUGAACCACCACUCCCAGCCCCAAUCAUUCUUUUUGAAGCUCAAAAAAUCUCAUCUUAGACCUAAAAUACUUCAGGCUAGCACCUAUGUCUAUCUGAUCAGCCCUCAUCAUGUUUAUAGCUUUUUAUCUCAGGCACUACAAAGCAGCUUAGGUAAUUUCCUGCUUCUACAUAGAAUCACUUCUAGGCACCCUAGAUUUCUUUUCUUAAUGGUACUUAGACACCAAUAUCUUGUUUAUAAGGAGUGUUCAUGGCUAUUAUGUUGUUACUGCCUACAGACUUUUUCAAUGGAGAGAGCUAGGAUACACUAAUUUUAAAGAGGAAAAUAAUAAAGUCACUUAAUAUAUAUAUUAUAUCUACUUUAAAUUGGGAGUAUAUCUACUUUAAAUGGAAAAAUGCAGUUUUGCUAUUUUUUAAAUUUUCUUAAUUGUACCUUUUAAAAAUAUUGAAACAUUUUAGAUAUUAAAAACAGUGAUGCCCUGGACUAUUUCAAUUACCUUGCAACAUAUUUAUAAUCACUUCAAAUGCACAACAACAAUAUUAUUACUAUCAAAGAAUGACUGAAUGUGGUGUAAGAUUAUUUGCAGUUCUGUGUUUCUAAUGUUAGGUACUUAAAUAGACGUUAGCCGCUGGGAGGGAAUGAAAGAGGAGAGCAGAAAGACUAUCACUAAGACACCCCCUAGCCCACCAACGUUCAGCCCCAAGACCUCCCUAACUUCACCCUAAUGGAUGGAGUUUGUGGUAAAGUCUGUGGCCAGCACAUCUUGUAGAAGGAUAAACUAGGGCACAGGUGGAAAUUCCCUAAAGUGGCACAUGCCCAGUAACAUAGAAAUAUGUCCUUAAGCUAACUCCAAGCUCAUCAUACCAUCAUUAUAAUAAAAUUUAUAUGUGAUUUUAUCCCCUCUCUGAGUGGACUUUUCUGUACGAAUUAUGGC
RNAcentral lists this long non-coding RNA (1218 nucleotides) under Macaca fascicularis (crab-eating macaque). Its description in RNAcentral is "lncRNA (ENSMFAG00000050964.1)". The record is from RNAcentral. Lineage: Eukaryota; Metazoa; Chordata; Mammalia; Primates; Cercopithecidae.